GAAAUUCAAGGGAAUACAACAAAAUUGAUAACAUAAUGGAUAUAUAAUAAAAACGAAUCUGGUGUGAAGGUUUUUAAUCUAACGUGGGCACGCCCAUAUGAAGAGCAGAGGGAGGGUUAUUGAAUUAAAAUGGAUAACAUAAAGAGAUAUACCUUAAAAAAAUAUUGACACUUUGCACCAUAGUUGGAAAGAAGAUUCUGCAACCAAGGCUUUGUUUCGGUACCAU
This 226-nucleotide long non-coding RNA is filed under the name Panax ginseng (ginseng). Its description in RNAcentral is "long non-coding RNA (PGIN_LNC015657)". The record is from RNAcentral. Lineage: Eukaryota; Viridiplantae; Streptophyta; Magnoliopsida; Apiales; Araliaceae.